UGUGAAACCCCCUCACAGUGGCCAGAACCCAGGUAUCUGAGGUGAUAUCUAACCAGGCAUGGAAAAAAUGACGGAGUCUGCCCCCUACACAGGUAUUGGAAAAAACAUGAGGUAGGUGUAGUCUUACCGUAAGGGCGUCUGGAACCGGGGUUCCCUCUGAAGCUUCUGGAGCGCCAUGGUCUUCCACGAGACGGGAAGAAGGGAGACUGGUGCCUUGUGUCUUGAUAAGGCGGUCUCUGAUUAUAAGAGCCUCGUCCCGAUCCUCGGGAGUUGAAAUUUGACCGGCCGGACAGACGGCCCCUGAAU
Molecule: non-coding RNA, 306 nt
Organism: Pelobates cultripes (western spadefoot toad)
Lineage: Eukaryota; Metazoa; Chordata; Amphibia; Anura; Pelobatidae
Source: the annotation of a GenBank genome assembly